UGGGGUGUAGCUCAGUGGUAGAGUGCUGGCCUAGCAUGCCACUGGGUUUGAGCCUCAGCACCACAU
This 66-nucleotide transfer RNA is filed under the name Ictidomys tridecemlineatus (thirteen-lined ground squirrel). RNAcentral's name for it is "Spermophilus tridecemlineatus (thirteen-lined ground squirrel) tRNA". It matches the Rfam family "tRNA". From Rfam's summary of the family: Transfer RNA (tRNA) molecules are approximately 80 nucleotides in length. Their secondary structure includes four short double-helical elements and three loops (D, anti-codon, and T loops). Further hydrogen bonds mediate the characteristic L-shaped molecular structure. tRNAs have two regions of fundamental functional importance: the anti-codon, which is responsible for specific mRNA codon recognition, and the 3' end, to which the tRNAs corresponding amino acid is attached (by aminoacyl-tRNA synthetases). tRNAs cope with the degeneracy of the genetic code in two manners: having more than one tRNA (with a specific anti-codon) for a particular amino acid; and 'wobble' base-pairing, i.e. permitting non-standard base-pairing at the 3rd anti-codon position. The record is from Rfam by way of RNAcentral. Lineage: Eukaryota; Metazoa; Chordata; Mammalia; Rodentia; Sciuridae.